GCCAGAGUGGCGAAAUUGGCAGACGCGCUAGACUCAAAAUCUAGUAGUCUUUACGGCUGUGUGGGUUCAAGUCCCUCCUCUGGCA
Molecule: transfer RNA, 85 nt
Filed under: Candidatus Brocadiia bacterium
Lineage: Bacteria; Pseudomonadati; Planctomycetota; Candidatus Brocadiia
Description: tRNA-Leu
Rfam family: tRNA
About the family: Transfer RNA (tRNA) molecules are approximately 80 nucleotides in length. Their secondary structure includes four short double-helical elements and three loops (D, anti-codon, and T loops).
Source: RNAcentral